Molecule: small nucleolar RNA, 105 nt
Organism: Nycticebus coucang (slow loris)
Lineage: Eukaryota; Metazoa; Chordata; Mammalia; Primates; Lorisidae
Product: small nucleolar RNA U13
Exons: 1
Source: RefSeq, a predicted model, not a curated record
AUCCUUUUGUAGUUCAUGAGUGUGAUGAUUGGGUUUUCAUGUGCAUGCGUGAGAUGUGCCUCCCACAGAGCUUUUUGCGAUGGUUGACUGGUUCUUCAUUUGUAC